RNAcentral lists this non-coding RNA (45 nucleotides) under Schistosoma curassoni. The record is from RNAcentral. Lineage: Eukaryota; Metazoa; Platyhelminthes; Trematoda; Strigeidida; Schistosomatidae.
AUCCAGCUGACGAGCCCCAAAUAGGACGUAACGUGCGUCCUGGAU